ACGGGUGAGUAAUGUCUGGGAAACUGCCUGAUGGAGGGGGAUAACUACUGGAAACGGUAGCUAAUACCGCAUAACGUCGCAAGACCAAAGAGGGGGACCUUCGGGCCUCUUGCCAUCGGAUGUGCCCAGAUGGGAUUAGCUAGUAGGUGGGGUAACGGCUUACCUAGGCGACGAUCCCUAGCUGGUCUGAGAGGAUGACCAGCCACACUGGAACUGAGACACGGUCCAGACUCCUACGGGAGGCAGCAGUGGGGAAUAUUGCACAAUGGGCGCAAGCCUGAUGCAGCCAUGCCGCGUGUGUGAAGAAGGCCUUAGGGUUGUAAAGCACUUUCAGCGAGGAGGAAGGGUUCAGUGUUAAUAGCACUGUGCAUUGACGUUACUCGCAGAAGAAGCACCGGCUAACUCCGUGCCAGCAGCCGCGGUAAUACGGAGGGUGCAAGCGUUAAUCGGAAUUACUGGGCGUAAAGCGCACGCAGGCGGUUUGUUAAGUCAGAUGUGAAAUCCCCGAGCUUAACUUGGGAACUGCAUUUGAAACUGGCAAGCUAGAGUCUUGUAGAGGGGGGUAGAAUUCCAGGUGUAGC
Molecule: ribosomal RNA, 581 nt
Filed under: uncultured bacterium
Lineage: Bacteria
Description: bacterial SSU rRNA
Rfam family: Bacterial small subunit ribosomal RNA
Source: RNAcentral